AAGUCCCGCAACGAGCGCAACCCUUAUCAUUAGUUGCUACGCAAGGGCACUCUAAUGAGACUGCCGGUGACAAACCGGAGGGAAAGGUGGGGAUGACGUCAAGUCCUCAUGGCCCUUAUGGGUAGGGCUUCACACGUCAUACAAUGGUCGGUACAAAGGGCUGCAAGACCGUGAGGUUGAGCGAAUCCCAGAAAGCCGGUCUCAGUUCGGAUUGGAGUCUGCAACUCGACUCCAUGAAGUUGGAAUCGCUAGUAAUCGCGGAUCAGCAUGCCGCGGUGAAUACGUUCCCGGGCCUU
This 296-nucleotide ribosomal RNA is filed under the name uncultured beta proteobacterium. RNAcentral describes it as "partial 16S ribosomal RNA". It matches the Rfam family "Bacterial small subunit ribosomal RNA", at positions 1082 to 1382 of the family's 1533-position model. The record is from RNAcentral. Lineage: Bacteria; Pseudomonadati; Pseudomonadota; Betaproteobacteria.